RNAcentral lists this ribosomal RNA (162 nucleotides) under Sequoia sempervirens (coast redwood). Its description in RNAcentral is "5.8S ribosomal RNA". It matches the Rfam family "5.8S ribosomal RNA". Rfam says of the family: 5.8S ribosomal RNA (5.8S rRNA) is a component of the large subunit of the eukaryotic ribosome. The record is from RNAcentral. Lineage: Eukaryota; Viridiplantae; Streptophyta; Pinopsida; Cupressales; Cupressaceae.
GACUCUCGGCAACGGAUAUCUCGGCUCUCGCCACGAUGAAGAAUGUAGCGAAAUGCGAUACUUAGUGUGAAUUGCAGAAUCCCGUGAAUCAUCGAGUCUUUGAACGCAAGUUGCGCCCGAGGCCUCGGCCGAGGGCACGUCUGCUUGGGCGUCGCACUGCAA